This 234-nucleotide unclassified non-coding RNA is filed under the name Hevea brasiliensis (rubber tree). The record is from RNAcentral. Lineage: Eukaryota; Viridiplantae; Streptophyta; Magnoliopsida; Malpighiales; Euphorbiaceae.
AUUGGUUAUAGAACACCCACAUAUGUGGACCUAAAAGGUCAAAUUCCAUUUCAGCAUUACAUUUCCAUAAAGACGUGUGAGCAAACAUAGAUGUAUAAUCUACAACUAGCUAAUGAGUCCUCAGCCUCAACAGCUUGACAUAAUGUGAGAUGUACUAAUCAGUACUCAUAUUUCAUUUUGCGUUCGAUGAGUUCUCCCUGCAGUCAAUUCAUUUCUGGCUUAAUUCUUGAUUUG